RNAcentral lists this microRNA precursor (93 nucleotides) under Tribolium castaneum (red flour beetle). RNAcentral's name for it is "microRNA tca-mir-11617a precursor (tca-mir-11617a-1)". Lineage: Eukaryota; Metazoa; Arthropoda; Insecta; Coleoptera; Tenebrionidae. The record is from miRBase by way of RNAcentral.
UUUUGGAAUUCACCAUUGAGUUGGCAUAGGGUAGUACUGCAGACCAAUGUAAUUGUAGUACUUCCUAGGGCAGCUUAUUAAGGAAUUCAAAUU